Molecule: unclassified non-coding RNA, 378 nt
Filed under: plant metagenome
Description: partial contains 5.8S ribosomal RNA, internal transcribed spacer 2, and large subunit ribosomal RNA
Rfam family: 5.8S ribosomal RNA (bases 1-105)
Source: RNAcentral
GAAAUGCGAUAAGUAAUGUGAAUUGCAGAAUUCAGUGAAUCAUUGAAUCUUUGAACGCACCUUGCGCUCCUUGGUAUUCCUUGGAGCAUGCCUGUUUGAGUAUCAUGAAAUCUUCAAAGUAAAUCUUUUGUUAACUCAAUUGGUUUCUACUUUGGUAUUGGAGGUCUUUGCAGCUUCACACCUGCUCCUCUUUGUUCAUUAGCUGGAUCUCAGUGUUAUGCUUGGUUCCACUCGGCGUGAUAAGUUAUCUAUCGCUGAGGACACUGUAAAAGGUGGCCAAGGUAAAUGCAGAUGAACCGCUUCUAAUAGUCCAUUGACUUGAACAAUACUUUUAUGAUCUGAUCUCAAAUCAGGUAGGACUACCCGCUGAACUUAAGC